CUACGUGCCAGCAGCCGCGGUAAUACGGAAGGUCCGGGCGUUAUCCGGAUUUAUUGGGUUUAAAGGGAGCGUAGGCCGGAGAUUAAGUGUGUUGUGAAAUGUAGACGCUCAACGUCUGACUUGCAGCGCAUACUGGUUUCCUUGAGUACGCACAACGUUGGCGGAAUUCGUCGUGUAGCGGUGAAAUGCUUAGAUAUGACGAAGAACUCCGAUUGCGAAGGCAGCUGACGGGAGCGCAACUGACGCUUAAGCUCGAAGGUGCGGGUAUCGAACAGGAUUAGAUACCCUGGUAGUCCGCACAGUAAACGAUGGAUGCUCGCUGUUGGUACCUGGUAUCAGCGGCUAAGCGAAAGCAUUAAGCAUCCCACCUGGGGAGUACGCCGGCAACGGUGAAACUCAAAGGAAUUGACGGGGGCCCGCACAAGCGGAGGAACAUGUGGUUUAAUUCGAUGAUACGCGAGGAACCUUACCCGGGAUUGAA
RNAcentral lists this ribosomal RNA (481 nucleotides) under uncultured bacterium. RNAcentral describes it as "bacterial SSU rRNA". It matches the Rfam family "Bacterial small subunit ribosomal RNA", at positions 501 to 985 of the family's 1533-position model. The record is from RNAcentral.